Molecule: ribosomal RNA, 786 nt
Filed under: uncultured bacterium
Lineage: Bacteria
Description: bacterial SSU rRNA
Rfam family: Bacterial small subunit ribosomal RNA
Source: RNAcentral
AGAGUUUGAUCAUGGCUCAGAUUGAACGCUGGCGGCAUGCCUUACACAUGCAAGUCGAACGGUAACAGGUUAAGCUGACGAGUGGCGAACGGGUGAGUAAUAUAUCGGAACGUGCCCAGUCGUGGGGGAUAACUGCUCGAAAGAGCAGCUAAUACCGCAUACGACCUGAGGGUGAAAGCGGGGGAUCGCAAGACCUCGCGCGAUUGGAGCGGCCGAUAUCAGAUUAGCUAGUUGGUGGGGUAAAAGCCCACCAAGGCGACGAUCUGUAGCUGGUCUGAGAGGACGACCAGCCACACUGGGACUGAGACACGGCCCAGACUCCUACGGGAGGCAGCAGUGGGGAAUUUUGGACAAUGGACGCAAGUCUGAUCCAGCCAUGCCGCGUGCGGGAAGAAGGCCUUCGGGUUGUAAACCGCUUUUGUCAGGGAAGAAAAGGCUCCUUCUAAUACAGGGGGCUCAUGACGGUACCUGAAGAAUAAGCACCGGCUAACUACGUGCCAGCAGCCGCGGUAAUACGUAGGGUGCAAGCGUUAAUCGGAAUUACUGGGCGUAAAGCGUGCGCAGGCGGUUAUGCAAGACAGAUGUGAAAUCCCCGGGCUCAACCUGGGAACUGCAUUUGUGACUGCAUGGCUAGAGUACGGUAGAGGGGGAUGGAAUUCCGCGUGUAGCAGUGAAAUGCGUAGAUAUGCGGAGGAACACCGAUGGCGAAGGCAAUCCCCUGGACCUGUACUGACGCUCAUGCACGAAAGCGUGGGGAGCAAACAGGAUUAGAUACCCUAGUAGUCC